This 368-nucleotide long non-coding RNA is filed under the name Aquilegia coerulea. Its description in RNAcentral is "long non-coding RNA (ACOE_LNC000559)". The record is from RNAcentral. Lineage: Eukaryota; Viridiplantae; Streptophyta; Magnoliopsida; Ranunculales; Ranunculaceae.
UAUAAGAUGCUAGUGAACAAUCUUGAGUUAAAGAGUUAUAAAGGUUUUUGCAUUGGGACUUUUUGUUGGUUGGUUACUUGGUUCAGUAGGCAAGCAAGGAAUAUUGGAGUACUGUAUUAGCUUUUGGUUAUACAAAACAAAGCACAUUUUGGCUUGUUUGUGCAACUUUUUUGUUUGAUGAAAUACCCAUACCAGAUUUACUGGCUUGAUUAUUAAAAAAAAGAUUUACUGGCUUGGAAUACUCUACUAUCAUAUCAUUGAUUGUUGUGUUGUUUGUUGCAAAACAUUGACAACCACUUUCUUUGAAAAUGUAUCAUUUAUAGUGGUAUAGAACCUGAUGGUUUCACAUCGCAUUUGUUGUUCUCCUU